This 463-nucleotide ribosomal RNA is filed under the name uncultured bacterium. Its description in RNAcentral is "bacterial SSU rRNA". It matches the Rfam family "Bacterial small subunit ribosomal RNA", at positions 339 to 794 of the family's 1533-position model. The record is from RNAcentral.
GUACGGGAGGCAGCAGUGGGGAAUUUUGGACAAUGGGGGAAACCCUGAUCCAGCCAUGCCGCGUGAGUGAAGAAGGCCUUCGGGUUGUAAAGCUCUUUCAGCCGGAACGAAACGGUCACGGCUAAUACCUGUGACUACUGACGGUACCGGAAGAAGAAGCACCGGCUAACUACGUGCCAGCAGCCGCGGUAAUACGUAGGGUGCAAGCGUUAAUCGGAAUUACUGGGCGUAAAGCGUGCGCAGGCGGUUUUGUAAGUCAGAUGUGAAAUCCCCGGGCUUAACCUGGGAACUGCGUUUGAAACUACAAGGCUAGAGUGUGGCAGAGGGGGGUGGAAUUCCACGUGUAGCAGUGAAAUGCGUAGAGAUGUGGAGGAACACCGAUGGCGAAGGCAGCCCCCUGGGUUAACACUGACGCUCAGGCACGAAAGCGUGGGGAGCAAACAGGAUUAGAUACCCCGGUAGU